Molecule: ribosomal RNA, 253 nt
Filed under: uncultured bacterium
Lineage: Bacteria
Description: partial 16S ribosomal RNA
Rfam family: Bacterial small subunit ribosomal RNA
Source: RNAcentral
UACGUAGGGUGCAAGCGUUAAUCGGAAUUACUGGGCGUAAAGCGUGCGCAGGCGGCUUUGCAAGUCAGAUGUGAAAUCCCCGGGCUCAACCUGGGAACUGCAUUUGUGACUGCAAGGCUAGAGUACGGUAGAGGGGGAUGGAAUUCCGCGUGUAGCAGUGAAAUGCGUAGAUAUGCGGAGGAACACCGAUGGCGAAGGCAAGCCCCUGGACCUGUACUGACGCUCAGGCACGAAAGCGUGGGGAGCAAACAGG